UGAUCCCGCCCCCUCACACCCCUCUCCGGUGCCCGCUUCCUGCGGCGCGGCGCGGCCGCCGCUUCCUGCUCCUCCCCGCGGCGCGUCGGGCGGGCGGCUCCGCCAUGGCCGCCCUGGCGGCCCUUUCAAACGCGGCAGCCGGCGGCAGGGGGCAGGCCUGACUGGCUUUGUGCAGGAAAAGUCCUUGGAACUCUACUGCACCAGCUUCUCUGAGCAAAAGUGUCUGGGAGUUCUCCAAGGUUUCAACCCUGGGAGGAUUGGAGUAAGUUUGAUUUAUAUUUUGAAGUACAACUUAGUUGUUACAGCUGAUUAAAAACCUUCUGGAGUGAUAGAACAAUUUCCAUACAAGUCCUUACCAUUG
Molecule: long non-coding RNA, 361 nt
Filed under: Calidris pygmaea (Spoon-billed sandpiper)
Lineage: Eukaryota; Metazoa; Chordata; Aves; Charadriiformes; Scolopacidae
Description: lncRNA (ENSCPGG00000001549.1)
Source: RNAcentral